This 232-nucleotide ribosomal RNA is filed under the name uncultured bacterium. RNAcentral's name for it is "partial 16S ribosomal RNA". It matches the Rfam family "Bacterial small subunit ribosomal RNA", at positions 118 to 350 of the family's 1533-position model. The record is from RNAcentral.
UGGGCAACCUGCCCCUCUCUCUGGGAUAACCCCGGGAAACCGGAGCUAAUACCGGAUACUCCGGCUGGAUCGCAUGGUCCGGCCGGGAAAGGUCCGCCGGAGAGGGAUGGGCCCGCGGCCUAUCAGCUUGUUGGUGAGGUAACGGCUCACCAAGGCGUCGACGGGUAGCUGGUCUGAGAGGACGACCAGCCACACUGUAACUGAGAUACGGUCCAGACUCCUACGGGAGGCA